RNAcentral lists this long non-coding RNA (7809 nucleotides) under Phoenix dactylifera (date palm). RNAcentral describes it as "long non-coding RNA (PDAC_LNC008863)". Lineage: Eukaryota; Viridiplantae; Streptophyta; Magnoliopsida; Arecales; Arecaceae. The record is from RNAcentral.
GAUUUUCAAAACCAGGAGGUUGUUCUACAUAAACCUCCUCAUUAAAAUAUCCAUUCAAGAAAGCAUUUUUUACAUCCAUUUGAAAUAAUUUAAAAUUUUUAAAACCUGCAAAUGCUAGUAACAAUCUAAUUGCCUCAAGUCUAGCCACAGGAGCAAAGGUCUCAUCAAAGUCUAUACCUUCUUGAUUAUAGCCCUUUGCUACUAGUCUAGCCUUGUUCCUAAUCACAACUUCAUUUUCAUCAAGUUUAUUUUGUAUACCCAUUUAGUUCCAAUUAUUGAGUAUUCAGAGGGUCUUUCAACUAAGUCCAUACUUUGUUUCUUGUAAAUUGGUUAAGUUCCUCUUGCAUAACAUUUAUCCAAUUUACGUCACUUUCAACUUCUUCAAUAUUUUUAGGUUCUAAAUGUGAAACAAAUGCAAGAUGAUUAUUUAAGUUUCUAAGAGAGGCUCUAGUUCUAACAGGUUGAGAUGGAUCAUCUAUCUUUGUUUUUAAGGUUUAUUGUCCUAUAUUCAUCCAUUAGUUCAUUAAAGGCAUCAUACAACUCUUCAAAAGUAAAAUCUAAAUGAGUUUCAUACAUUACCUCUUUUUCGUUUGCCAUAAGGCAGAAAUUAGCUUUCUCCUCUUAUUCUUCUUUCGAUGAUGAUGAUGACUUAUCAGAGUCAGUCUAUGUGGUGUAAGAGCUUUCUUUUUUUUGUACUUGUUGCUCUUCCUCAGUAAGGGACAGUCGGCUCUGAAAUGAUCCGGCUUCUUACAUUCAUAGCAUCCGAUUUUCUCACUUUUUCUUUUCUUACCUUUAUCCUUGUUGAAGGAACUCGAGGGAACUCUCCUUUUAUGGAAGGGCUUCUUCCGAUUGAUGAAUCUUCUGAAUUUUCGCACAAAGAAAGCCUCUUCUUCAUCUUCCUCAUUGUCUUCUUCUCACUGCUGCUACUACAAGAAACAUCCUUGUUAGAAGAAGUAGAUUUGAGGGCAAUUACCUUUUUCUUAUGGGAGGAUUCUUCUUCACUUUGUUGUUUCAUUAUGAGCUUAUGCGUCAUUAGAGAUCCAAGAAGCUCCUCGAGUGGCAGCUUGUUUAAGUCUUUUGCUUCUUGGAUUGCCGUGACCUUAGCUUCCCAUGACCUUGGUAAAGAGCGAAGAAUUUUUCUGACAAGAUCACUGUUAGUAUAACUUUUGCCAAGGUUUUUUAAGCCGUUGACAAUAUCAGUAAAUCUUGUGAACAUGCAAGAAAUGGUUUCAUUAGACUCCAUUUUAAAUAGUUCUCUCAAAAUAUCAUCUCUCAGAGCUCUAAGCUGCUCACCACUAAGCCUAACCUCAAGGGGCUGCUGAGAUGGUGGCACUGUGGAUGAAGGCCCAAUAGUGGAUGAAGGGCCAGCAGUGGAUGGGAAGGUGGAGGGAUCUACGGAGGUAUCCGGUUUAUAUUCAUAAGUGGGAGAGUGAGGAGCAGUGGGGUCAGAUGGUAUGAUAGAAGAAGUUUUUCUAACCCAAGUACCCUCAACCUUAUGGAAACCCAUUCGGUGGAGAGUCCCCUCGCCCAUAUGGUCAGUGUAGCGAAGUGAACGAGAGGGUUCCCCCUCAGGAAUAGGGACCUCUAAUUCCCUAAAGAUCAGGGUGAAGAGCAUGCCAUAUGAAAGACUCAAUCUUGGAUUUUCUAGGGGAUCACAGAUAUGACUAUAAAUGAGUCUAGAAAAGUUGAGAGGGACGUCAUGUAGGAUGUUGAACAUGAUAGCUAGGUCUCUCUCAGAAAUAAAGUCAAACCUACCCAUUUUAGGAAGGAGGGUGCGAGAAAUAAUACUUAGUAGGAGGCGCAUCUCAGCGGAGAGCUGAUUUGCGAAGACCUCCUCAAUGGGGGACUGGGGUGCUCUCCCUAGAAUGGUCGUAAGGGCCUCAAAUCUAUCGGAGGGGUGAGUGGGAGUUAUACCCUCACGAGAGAAGUGGAGGACUUGUGCAAUGAAGUCCUCCGAGAUGGAAAUAGGGACAUUGGCUACCCUUCCUUGAAUACCGCCGCCACCCCAUGUGACGGUGCCAUAGAAUUUUCGGACUAACCCAGGAUAUGUGGGAAGAUCAAGGGAACAAAAGUAAUCUAGACCUUGAGCCCUAAGAUGAUGCCCUCACGUGAACCCUUCUCGAGAGAGGAAGUCAAAAUCGAUUUUCCUUCCGGUAGAGACAACUCUCCCGGCGUACGAGCGCGAGGGAACCGACCGAGGCGGGGAGGAAACCGAAGGAGGUGGUCUCACAGGUUCAUUCCUCACCUUGGAUCGUCUCUUAGUGCCGCUCGCAACAAGAGGCCUCUUCCGGCGAGAUACAAUGGCUUUCCUAAGCAUCCCGACCUACUAAAGGAAGGAGAGAUGUGAAAUGGGAGGAAAAUUGGAGAAAAAAUGAAGGGAGGAGGUGGAGACGACCGUGGGAGACGACUCAAGGGUUUUGGAACAGUGGCGGCCGAAAAUAAAGAUAUGAAAAAAGUCAUUUCGUUUAGGGUUAAAAAUCGGAUUUCCGACCUCGAGUCGACUCCUGAAAAUUCGCGAGUCAACUCUCAGAAUCAUCCGAGUCGACUCGAACUCUAUCACAUAACCAAAAUCUCAGUUAGUACUGUGCCAAAAGAGAGAGAUAUGAUAAUCUUUAAAGCUUAAGGAAUGAUUUGAUGAUAAUAGACGUGGAAUACUAUAUCAAACGUAAAUUAAUGAUCAAAAUCAAUGAAUGAGAGAAAAGAAUCAAAGAAAUGGAUCAAUCACUCUUAACCCUCUUCUAAGAGUACAAAAUCGAUCUUCACUUAAGAUUUUUGUAAAGAUAUCAGCAAGUUGAUCAUCAGUACAAACAAAUUCAAGCAUCACAUCACCAUUUAAUACAUGAUCUCUUAUGAAGUGAUGUCUUAUCUCAAUGUAUUUAGUUCUUGAGUGCUGAAUUGGAUUUUUAGUUAGAUUUAUGGCAUUUGUAUUAUCACAGUUUAUGAAAAUCUUAUCUUGCUUAAUGCCAUAAUCUUCAAGUUGUUGCUUGAUCCACAAAAUUUGAGUACAACAACUCUCGGCAGCAACAUAUUCGGCCUCCGCCGUAGAUAGUGCAACCGAGUUUUGUUUCUUGCUAAACCAUGAGAUUAAGUUCUCUCUAUUGUCCGAUUCCUAUUUACCUAAAAAUAUGCUAAACAGAUCAUUGUUAGAACCGACAAAUAAAGUUUAAAUUAAUUUUACUCUUACCUGUUCUACUCGAAGAAAAGUGGUUGUAAGAGGUCGAUCCACAGGGAGUCGACUGGAGUUGCAUAAAAAUCAAAACGUUCACUCGGAUUCGAAAUCAAUUUUUGAAUAACAAAAGAAAAACAUUACUUCGGGGAUGUUUGAAAGAUUCUCUGGGCUACCAGAGAUUGUUUUCUACUUGAAAUUGACAAAAAGACAGGUAUUUAAAUUUGAAAGGCAUUUAUAUAUUGAACUAAUCAAAGAAANNNNNNNNNNNNNNNNNNNNNNNNNNNNNNNNNNNNNNNNNNNNNNNNNNNNNNNNNNNNNNNNNNNNNNNNNNNNNNNNNNNNNNNNNNNNNNNNNNNNNNNNNNNNNNNNNNNNNNNNNNNNNNNNNNNNNNNNNNNNNNNNNNNNNNNNUGAUUGAUUUCAUAAAAAGAAAUGAUUACAAAAAUAAAAAGGAAGAUUGGAAGCCUAAUGCUUCUUUUCUUCUGCAAAGAAAGCAAGAAAUAACAUUAAACUCCCUCAUCUUUUCUUCUACAAAUAACAAGAAAAUAAGAAAAGAAAAGAAAGCAUGGCUCCCCCUCGGUGGAACUCUCAAAAUAAAAUAUAUUUUCUUUUUCUUCCUUCUUCUCGAAAAACAGAGCUCCCCUGUUUUCCCUGUUCUUUGGCCCAAACCCCAACCGAGCUCUCCCCUCCCCCUUCCCGAUGGCUCCCUUAUAUAGAUCCCCAGCAAGCGUGGAUGGCUGGAUUAUAGGCGGAAGGAGAGGGCGGACGCGGUGGAGGCUGGGAUGCUGCUUGGUUCACGGGAUUGCUGGGCGGAUUGCGGAGGAGGGGGUCAAUGAUCCGUGGAGCUUGGACGCGGCGUCGGAGGCUGGGAUUCCGGCUGGGAUCGGAGGACGUGGAUCCGUGGGGACCGUUGCUCCUCCUCUGACGAGGAAGAGGUGGAUGCAGAGGCGGGAUGAGAUGCGGCUUGCUUGAUUUGGGAGGCUUGGAAGAGUGGCUGGCUGCUGGAUGGACGGGAGGAUGCCGUGGGAUCGCUUGAGGAGCCGAUCAUGGCUUGAUGGGCGCGGGAUCGCUGGAGGAGGCGGUCACGGCUUGGAUCCGGGUGCUAGGACGUUCACCGCGUGAAGAACGCGGGCUGCUGGGCGCGGAAGAGGAAGACGGACGCGUGAUGCAGGCUGGGAUUGAUCACGGAUGGAAGGAGCUGGGGACGUGGACUUCCUUCUUUAGCCACAGGAUGACGAUGGAAUGGCAUCGCUCGGGAUCGCUGUGGCGGACGCGUGGGAUCAUUCCUUCUCCCCUGUUUUCGCACGGAUGAAGCUGGAGAUUGCAGUUGGGGGAGAUAGGUUGAUAUGGAAGGAUGUGGAUGCUGAAUUGCUGAUCCAUGGAAAGUAGGAUAUACGGGUGUAUGGACUGCACGUGGGAAGACUCCAGAAUGUUGUGAUGAACUCAUUCAAAUGGACGCACGGGAUGCUGGAUCAGGGAUGCUUCGUGGAAGAUAGACGGCUUGGCUUGGGAAGGGAUCCUUCUGAAGUCAAUUUGUACUCAAUGUGCAUUUUAUCUCUAAUUUACGAUAAUCUGUGUCAAACCCAAAUAUAAUAUUAAUCCAGUGAAUUUAUCAUUAUAUGUGAGCAGUAACACUAAUUUAGGCAGCGUGUAGAUCGCACUUUUGUGCUCUCUUCACUCUUCUAAGAAUUGACAUGACCUGCUGGUGCUUUUUCUAUCAAGUUUACAACCAGCAAAGUCAGAAUCAGUGUGCCCUAUUAAAUCUAUACUUGAUUCUUUAGAGUACCAUAAUCCUAUAUCUUUUGUUCCUAUUAGAUACUUAAAAUUUUUUUUAACUGCAAUUAGGUGUGUUUCCUUAGGAUUAGAUUGAUAUCUAGCACACAUGCAUACACUAAACAUGAUAUCAGGUCUACUUACUGUAAGAUAUAAUAAUGAUCUGAUCAUACCUUUAUACAGCUUUUGAUCUACUGACUUACCUAAUUCAUCUUUGUCUAGUUUGCAUGAUGAGCUUAUGGGGGCGCCAAUUGACUUGUUUCCAUCUAUAUCAAAUUUCUUUAGCAUUUUCUUGAUGUAUUUAGCUUGAUUGAUGAAAAUUAUUUUCUUAAAUUGUUUGAUUUGAAGUCCGAGAAAGUAGUUCAACUCUCCCAUCAUGCUCAUCUCAAAUUCACUCUGCAUUAAUUCAGCAAACUCUUUGCAAAGACGAUUGUUAGUAGCACCAAAAAUAAUAUCAUCUACAUAAAUCUGCAUUAUUAACAUAUCUUUGUUUUUCUUUUUCAAAAAUAAGGUUGUAUCAAUAUUUCCUCUAGAAAAUUCAUGAUCCAAUAGAAAUUUGCUAAAUCUUUCAUACCAUGCUCUAGGAGCUUGUUUUAGACCAUAAAGUGUUGUAUUUAAUUUGUAAAUAUGGUUAGGGUAUUGAUGAUUUUCAAAACCAGGAGUUUGUUCUACAUAAACCUCCUCAUUAAUAUACCCAUUUAAGAAAGCACUCUUUACAUCCAUUUGAAAUAAUUUGAAAUCUUUAAAACAUGCAAAUGCUAGUAGCAAUAUAAUUGCUUCGAGUCUAGCCACAGAAGCAAAGGUCUCAUCAAAAUCUAUACCUUCUUCUUGAUUAUAGCCCUUUGCUACUAGUAUAGCCUUAUUCCUAACCACAACUCCAUUUUCAUCAAGCUUAUUUUUGUACACCCUAGUUCCAAUUAUUAAGUAUUCGGAGGGUCUUUGAACUAAGUUUCAUACAUUGUUUCUUAUAAAUUGGUUAAGUUCCUCUUGCAUAGCGUUUAUUCAAUUUACAUCAUUUUCAGCUUUUUCAAUGUUUUUAGGUUCUAAAUGUGAUACAAAUGUAAGAUGAUUAUUUAAGUUCCUAAGAGAGGCUCUAGUUUUAACAGGUUGAGAUAGAUCAUCUAAGAUUAACUUUUUAGGAUGACCGUAAGCAUACCUCCAAACCUUUGUAAGCCCAUGAUUAGCAAUUACCUCUUGGCUUGUUGAAGUCUCUUCAAUUUGCUUCGGUUCAUCCUCUUGUAAGGUCAUGUCAUCUAUCUUUUCUUCAAGUAUCCCUGCAUCAUCAUCAAAAGUUACUUCUUUGCUAGAGGAAGCAUCAUUAGUCUCAUCAAAAAUAACAUGAAUAGAUUCUUCAACAACAAGAGUUCUUUUGUUGAAGACUCUAUAUGCCUUACUUGAUGUAGAGUAUCCCAAAAAGAUACCUUAAUCAGAUUUGGAAUCAAAUUUGCCUAAAUUAUCUUUACCAUUAUUAUGAAUGAAACACCUACAACUAAAAACAUGAAAGUAGUUUACUUUGGGUUUUCUAUCUCUCCAAAGUUCAUAAAGUGUUUUCUUUAUAAUUAGUCUAAACAAAACUUUAUUUAGAAUAUAACAUGAUGUGUUAAUAGUUUCAGCCCAAAAGUACUUUGGAAGAUUAUUUUCGCACAACAUGGUCCUAGCCAUCUCUUCUAGAGUUCUAUUCUUUCUUUCUACCACUUCAUUUUGUUGUGGAGUCCUAGGUGCAGAAAAAUUAUGAGUUAUGCCCUUUUUACUACAAAAUUUUUUAAAGAGAUGAUUUUCAAAUUCUGUUCCAUGAUCACUCCUAAUAACUAUAACUGAAGUAUUUUUUACAUUAGUUACUUCCUUAUAUAAUUUCUUAAAUGCUGAAAAUGCUUCAUCUUUAUGAGCCAAAAAUAUGACCAUGUGUAUCUAGAAAAAUCAUUUUAAUCUUAAGACCAUACUUCUUUCCACCAAGGCUUGUGGUCCUAGUUGGUCCAAAGAGGUCCAUGUGAAGUAGCUCAAGGGGUCUAGUAGUAGAAAUACAGUUAUAGACUUAAAAGAGCUUCUACAUUGUUUGUCAAAUUGACAUGCUCUACAAAUUUUAUUUUUUUCAAAUUUCAGCUUUGGCAAACCAAUCACAGAAUCUCUUUUAAUUAAUUUAGACAGUGUAUCUAUGCUUGCAUAACCUAAUUUACGAUGCCAUAACCAACUUUUCUCAUUUAGCUUAGUAUCAUCAGCUACUAAGUAGCGACUGUUAGAUCAUCAAAAUCUACUACAUACACAUUGCCAUAUCUUAGUCUUUUGAAAACUAGGCUAUUGUCAAUUGAAUUGGUUAUGAUGCAUGAAGAUGACUUAAACAAAAUAUUAAAAUCUCUAUCACAUAAUUGACUAAUACUAAGUAAAUUAUGCUUGAGACCAUCUACAAACCGAACAUUAUCAACAAGGGUUGAAGGUGUGAUUUGUAUUUUACCGAUACCAGUGAUGUGACCUUGGUUAUUGUCUCCAAAAGUCACUACACCUCCUUUCUUAGAUUCUAGGAUGAAGAAUUACUCCUUGUCACCCAUCAUGUGUCUUGAGCAGCCACUAUCCAAGUACCAACAGUGUUUAUUGAGCUUGACGGCAAGAUACUCCGAUACACAAAGAAAUCAAACAGUCUUAGGUACCCAAGUUUUCUUGGAUUCUUCUAGGUUAGCUAUGUUAGUUUAUUUUGGAACCCAAACCUUUUUAAUCUUUCUUUUAGCUUCUGUUUUUCUAUAGUUGCAUACAUUAGCUUUAUGUCCUAUUAUAUAACAACAAAAACAGAUUACAUCUUUAGCUUUACUUUCACCGACUUUUAUAAAGAAGUUUUUAAGAAAUUUCUUUUUGUUCUUAGGCUUAUACCCUAACCCGG